AGUCACUGACAUUAGAUACCCCGGUAGUCCAGGGUGUAAACGCUGCAGACUUGGUGUUGGAAGUCCUUUGGGGGCAUUCAGUGCCGGAGAGAAGUUGUUAAGUCUGCUACUUGGGAGUACGUCCGCAAGGAUGAAACUUAAAGGAAUUGGCGGGGGGAGCACCGCAACGGGAGGAGCGUGCGGUUUAAUUGGAUUCAACACCGUAAAACUCACCAGGGAAGACUGUUACAUGAAAGCCGAGAUGAAGACUCUGCUAGAUUUUCAG
This 265-nucleotide ribosomal RNA is filed under the name uncultured archaeon. RNAcentral describes it as "partial 16S ribosomal RNA". It matches the Rfam family "Archaeal small subunit ribosomal RNA", at positions 718 to 982 of the family's 1478-position model. The record is from RNAcentral.